RNAcentral lists this ribosomal RNA (636 nucleotides) under Salinivibrio sp. TA29. Its description in RNAcentral is "bacterial SSU rRNA". It matches the Rfam family "Bacterial small subunit ribosomal RNA", at positions 148 to 775 of the family's 1533-position model. The record is from RNAcentral. Lineage: Bacteria; Pseudomonadati; Pseudomonadota; Gammaproteobacteria; Vibrionales; Vibrionaceae.
CGUUAGACACCAUGGCUUAUACAGUAUAAGUUGUCGGGACCAAAGGUGGCCUCUACAUGUAAGCUAUCGCGUUGGGAUGGGCCCAGUUAGGAUUAGCUAGUUGGUAAGGUAAUGGCUUACCGAGGCUACGAUCCUUAGCUGGUUUGAGAGGAUGAUCAGCCACACUGGGACUGAGACACGGCCCAGACUCNNUACGGGAGGCAGCAGUGGGGGAAUAUUGCACAAUGGGGGAGACCCUGAUGCAGCCAUGCCGCGUGUGUGAAGAAGGCCUUCGGGUUGUAAAGCACUUUCAGCAGUGAGGAAGGUCGUGUACUUAAUACGUGCACGGCUUGACGUUAGCUGCAGAAGAAGCACCGGCUAACUCCGUGCCAGCAGCCGCGGUAAUACGGAGGGUGCGAGCGUUAAUCGGAAUUACUGGGCGUAAAGCGCAUGCAGGCGGUUUGUUAAGUCAGAUGUGAAAGCCCGGGGCUCAACCUCGGAACCGCAUUUGAAACUGGCAGGCUAGAGUCUUGUAGAGGGGGGUAGAAUUUCAGGUGUAGCGGUGAAAUGCGUAGAGAUCUGAAGGAAUACCAGUGGCGAAGGCGGCCCCCUGGACAAAGACUGACGCUCAGAUGCGAAAGCGUGGGUAGCAAACAG